AACCUUAUGGACCUGCGGGCGUAUACCUGCGGAAGGAUCAUUAAAUAAAUAAGAAGUAAUUAGGCUCGUCCUGUUACUAUCUAUUUUACUGUGAACUGUUUUAUUUUGCAGCGUUUGAGGGAUGUUCUUGUGCUAUAUGGGUAGGCAUAAGAAAUGUUAACCGAGCUGUAAUCAGGCCUAGGCUUGGUACCCUGUUUAUAUACUUUCAAUUGAUCAGAUUUUAAAAUGUAACAUAGAGUA
RNAcentral lists this unclassified non-coding RNA (240 nucleotides) under soil metagenome. RNAcentral's name for it is "partial contains 5.8S ribosomal RNA, internal transcribed spacer 2, and large subunit ribosomal RNA". The record is from RNAcentral.